GUGCCAGCAGCCGCGGUAAUACGGAGGAUCCGAGCGUUAUCCGGAUUUAUUGGGUUUAAAGGGUGCGCAGGCGGGAGAUUAAGUCGGCGGUGAAAUUUUGCAGCUCAACUGUAAAAGUGCCUUCGAAACUGGUUUUCUUGAGUAUGGAUGAAGUAGGCGGAAUUUGUGGUGUAGCGGUGAAAUGCAUAGAUAUCACGAGGAACUCCGAUUGCGCAGGCAGCUUACUAAGCCAUAACUGACGCUCAUGCACGAAGGCGUGGGGAUCAAACAGGAUUAGAUACCCUGGUAGUCCACGCAGUAAACGAUGAUUACUCGCUGUUUGCGAUACAAUGUAAGCGGCUAAGCGAAAGCAUUAAGUAAUCCACCUGGGGAGUACGUUCGCAAGAAUGAAACUCAAAUGAAUUGACGG
Molecule: ribosomal RNA, 409 nt
Filed under: uncultured bacterium
Lineage: Bacteria
Description: bacterial SSU rRNA
Rfam family: Bacterial small subunit ribosomal RNA
Source: RNAcentral